AGCAGCAGCCACGGGAAUACGGAGGGUGCAAGCGUUAUCCGGAUUUAUUGGGUUUAAAGGGUCCGUAGGCGGAUCUGUAAGUCAGUGGUGAAAUCUCACAGCUUAACUGUGAAACUGCCAUUGAUACUGCAGGUCUUGAGUAAAUUUGAAGUGGCUGGAAUAAGUAGUGUAGCGGUGAAAUGCAUAGAUAUUACUUAGAACACCAAUUGCGAAGGCAGGUCACUAAGAUUUAACUGACGCUGAUGGACGAAAGCGUGGGGAGCGAACAGGAUUAGAUACCCCUGUAGUCCCUGUCUCUUAUAC
RNAcentral lists this ribosomal RNA (303 nucleotides) under uncultured bacterium. RNAcentral's name for it is "partial 16S ribosomal RNA". It matches the Rfam family "Bacterial small subunit ribosomal RNA", at positions 507 to 807 of the family's 1533-position model. The record is from RNAcentral.